RNAcentral lists this ribosomal RNA (459 nucleotides) under uncultured bacterium. RNAcentral's name for it is "partial 16S ribosomal RNA". It matches the Rfam family "Bacterial small subunit ribosomal RNA", at positions 338 to 795 of the family's 1533-position model. The record is from RNAcentral.
CCUACGGGAGGCAGCAGUGAGGAAUAUUGGUCAAUGGGCGGGAGCCUGAACCAGCCAAGCCGCGUGAGGGAAGAAGGUACAGCGUAUCGUAAACCUCUUUUGUCAGGGAACAAAGGCGGGGACUAGUCCCCGGAUGAGGGUACCUGAAGAAAAAGCAUCGGCUAACUCCGUGCCAGCAGCCGCGGUAAUACGGAGGAUGCGAGCGUUAUCCGGAUUUAUGGGGUUUAACGGGUGCGCAGGCGGCCUUGUAAGUCAGCGGUAAAAGCCCGGGGCUCAACCCCGGCGAGCCGUGGAAACUGGGGGGCUGGAGUUGGAGAGAAGUACGCGGAAUGCGCGGUGUAGCGGUGAAAUGCUUAGAUAUCGCGCAGAACACCGAUGGCGAAGGCAGCGUACCGGCUCCAAACUGACGCUGAGGCACGAAAGCGUGGGUAUCGAACAGGAUUAGAUACCCUAGUAGUC